Pelobates cultripes (western spadefoot toad) is the source of this 322-nucleotide non-coding RNA. The record is from the annotation of a GenBank genome assembly. Lineage: Eukaryota; Metazoa; Chordata; Amphibia; Anura; Pelobatidae.
GUGCUUACUACAGUGUAGGUAGCCAUAGGACAGUGAGUGCUUACUACAGUGUAGGUAGCCAUGGGAGGGUGAGUGCUUACUACAGUGUAGGUAGCCAUAGGACAGUGAGUGCUUACUACAGUGUAGGUAGCCAUGGGACAGUGAGUGCUUACUACAGUGUAGGUAGCCAUAGGACAGUGAUCGCUUACUACAGUGUAGGUAGCCAUGGGAGGGUGAGUCCUCACUACAGUGUAGGUAGCCAUGGACAGUGAGUGCUUACUACAGUGUAGGUAGCCAUGGGACAGUGAGUGCUUACUACAGUGUAGGUAGCCAUGGGACAGUG